UUUAUGGAGAGUUUGAUCCUGGCUCAGGAUGAACGCUGGCGGCGUGCCUAAUACAUGCAAGUCGAGCGAACGGACGAGAAGCUUGCUUCUCUGAUGUUAGCGGCGGACGGGUGAGUAACACGUGGAUAACCUACCCAUAAGACUGGGAUAACUUCGGGAAACCGGAGCUAAUACCGGAUAAUAUUUUGAACCGCAUGGUUCAAAAGUGAAAGACGGUCUUGCUGUCACUUAUGGAUGGAUCCGCGCUGCAUUAGCUAGUUGGUAAGGUAACGGCUUACCAAGGCAACGAUGCAUAGCCGACCUGAGAGGGUGAUCGGCCACACUGGAACUGAGACACGGUCCAGACUCCUACGGGAGGCAGCAGUAGGGAAUCUUCCGCAAUGGGCGAAAGCCUGACGGAGCAACGCCGCGUGAGUGAUGAAGGUCUUCGGAUCGUAAAACUCUGUUAUUAGGGAAGAACAUAUGUGUAAGUAACUGUGCACAUCUUGACGGUACCUAAUCAGAAAGCCACGGCUAACUACGUGCCAGCAGCCGCGGUAAUACGUAGGUGGCAAGCGUUAUCCGGAAUUAUUGGGCGUAAAGCGCGCGUAGGCGGUUUUUUAAGUCUGAUGUGAAAGCCCACGGCUCAACCGUGGAGGGUCAUUGGAAACUGGAAAACUUGAGUGCAGAAGAGGAAAGUGGAAUUCCAUGUGUAGCGGUGAAAUGCGCAGAGAUAUGGAGGAACACCAGUGGCGAAGGCGACUUUCUGGUCUGUAACUGACGCUGAUGUGCGAAAGCGUGGGGAUCAAACAGGAUUAGAUACCCUGGUAGUCCACGCCGUAAACGAUGAGUGCUAAGUGUUAGGGGGUUUCCGCCCCUUAGUGCUGCAGCUAACGCAUUAAGCACUCCGCCUGGGGAGUACGACCGCAAGGUUGAAACUCAAAGGAAUUGACGGGGACCCGCACAAGCGGUGGAGCAUGUGGUUUAAUUCGAAGCAACGCGAAGAACCUUACCAAAUCUUGACAUCCUUUGACAACUCUAGAGAUAGAGCCUUCCCCUUCGGGGGACAAAGUGACAGGUGGUGCAUGGUUGUCGUCAGCUCGUGUCGUGAGAU
RNAcentral lists this ribosomal RNA (1093 nucleotides) under Staphylococcus aureus. Its description in RNAcentral is "bacterial SSU rRNA". It matches the Rfam family "Bacterial small subunit ribosomal RNA", at positions 1 to 1073 of the family's 1533-position model. The record is from RNAcentral. Lineage: Bacteria; Bacillati; Bacillota; Bacilli; Caryophanales; Staphylococcaceae.